AUUGCUCAAAGAGGGGUAACAAUUGUGAUUAUUGGGGCUCAGUUGGAUGGAACACCGGGACAGAUUGGGGUUAUAAGCCACAGAAUGCAUUAGAUAAAAAGGAUACGAAUGGGAAGUCCCUCUUGACUAGAAUGACCCUAACAAAGCCUAUAGGGCAAACUGGGCACUCCAUUAAAUUUACCUUAAAUAUUGAAAACCCCAGUCCUGGAGAUCAAGGUAUUUAUAUUCU
Non-coding RNA from Pelobates cultripes (western spadefoot toad), 229 nucleotides. The record is from the annotation of a GenBank genome assembly. Lineage: Eukaryota; Metazoa; Chordata; Amphibia; Anura; Pelobatidae.